Molecule: ribosomal RNA, 478 nt
Filed under: uncultured bacterium
Lineage: Bacteria
Description: partial 16S ribosomal RNA
Rfam family: Bacterial small subunit ribosomal RNA
Source: RNAcentral
GACGAACGCUGGCGGCGUGCUUAACACAUGCAAGUCGAACGGUGAAAGCGGAGCUUGCUCCGCUGGAUCAGUGGCGAACGGGUGAGUAACACGUGGGCAACCUGCCCCUCACUUCGGGAUAACUCCGGGAAACCGGGGCUAAUACCGGAUAUGACCUCCUUGGGCAUCCUUGGAGGUGGAAAGUUUUUCGGUGAGGGAUGGGCCCGCGGCCUGUCAGCUUGUUGGUGAGGUAGUGGCUCACCAAGGCGACGACGGGUAGCCGGCCUGAGAGGGCGACCGGCCACAUUGGGACUGAGACACGGCCCAAACUCCUACGGGAGGCAGCAGUGGGGAAUAUUGGACAAUGGGCGCAAGCCUGAUCCAGCCAUGCCGCGUGAGUGAUGAAGGCCUUAGGGUUGUAAAGCUCUUUCGUCCGGGACGAUAAUGACGGUACCGGAAGAAGAAGCCCCGGCUAACUUCGUGCCAGCAGCCGCCGUAA